GAUCAUGGCUCAGGAUGAACGCUAGCGGCAGGCUAACACAUGCAAGUCGAGGGGCAUCGGGAGUAGCAAUACUUGCCGGCGACCGGCGCAAGGGUGCGUAACGCGUGAGCAACAUGCCCGUAUCAGGGGGAUAAUCCAUGGAAACGUGGUCUAAUACCCCAUAGUAAUUAUGUAAGGCAUCUUAUAUAAUUUAAAGCUUUGGUGGAUACGGAUUGGCUCGCGUGACAUUAGCUGGAUGGUAAGGUAACGGCUUACCAUGGCUACGAUGUCUAGGGGUUCUGAGAGGAAGGUCCCCCACACUGGAACUGAGACACGGUCCAGACUCCUACGGGAGGCAGCAGUGAGGAAUAUUGGACAAUGGAUGGAAAUCUGAUCCAGCCAUGCCGCGUGCAGGAAGACGGCCCUAUGGGUUGUAAACUGCUUUUGUAUGGGAGCAAUAAGGGCUACGUGUAGUCCGAUGAGAGUACCAUACGAAUAAGCACCGGCUAACUCCGUGCCAGCCGCCGC
RNAcentral lists this ribosomal RNA (507 nucleotides) under uncultured bacterium. RNAcentral describes it as "bacterial SSU rRNA". It matches the Rfam family "Bacterial small subunit ribosomal RNA", at positions 15 to 518 of the family's 1533-position model. The record is from RNAcentral.